Molecule: long non-coding RNA, 372 nt
Filed under: Nicotiana benthamiana
Lineage: Eukaryota; Viridiplantae; Streptophyta; Magnoliopsida; Solanales; Solanaceae
Description: long non-coding RNA (NBEN_LNC006757)
Source: RNAcentral
AACUAUUGGGAAUUGAUGUAGCAAACAAGGAAAGAGCUACUGCAAAAAGGGAAGUUGCCGUUAUAUUUAAAUAAGGAAGCGAAAUGACUGUAGCAAACGAGGAAGAAAAUCUUCCUAAAAGGAAGAUGCCGUCGAUCAAGGAAAGGAUCAACAUCUCAUAAGCAAAUAAGGAACCCCAUGAUUUUGGAAAAUCAAAUCUACCUGGAUGAAAUAAAAGAUUCAACGCAAUCCCUAGUGGACGAGUAAUUCCUGUCACUGAAGAUAAUUGAUAGCGAAAGAUCUGGACAACAAUCAAGACUGGAAGGCCCAAUAAUCAAGGAAGAACUUUGUCAAAUCAUAUCUCCAGCCAAAGGGAAAGGAUCUGAAUUGAAG